Molecule: ribosomal RNA, 305 nt
Filed under: uncultured bacterium
Lineage: Bacteria
Description: bacterial SSU rRNA
Rfam family: Bacterial small subunit ribosomal RNA
Source: RNAcentral
UUGCUCCUACGGGGCGCAGCAGUGAGGAAUAUUGGUCAAUGGGAGAGAUCCUGAACCAGCCAAGCCGCGUGAGGGAAGACGGCCCUGUGGGUUGUAAACCUCUUUUGUCGGAGAACAAAACCCGGGACGUGUCCCGGGCUGCGUGUAUCCGAAGAAAAAGCAUCGGCUAACUCCGUGCCAGCAGCCGCGGUAAUACGGAGGAUGCGAGCGUUAUCCGGAUUUAUUGGGUUUAAAGGGUGCGUAGGCGGUCCGUUAAGUCAGCGGUAAAAUUGCGGGGCUCAACCCCGUCGAGCCGUGGCAACUGG